ACUAAACCCGCUCUGGUCUAAACUCUGGAUGAUUUGAUGAAGGUAUUUUUCUCGCCCAGUAGCUCCCAGCACGUCCUUAUCUAAUUAGAAUCUCAAACCAAACUUGGGGGGAUGGUGGUAUGGGUAUUAUUCCCAUUUUUAAAGCUAGGGCUACUUGAGAAGCAGAAAUGCAGUGAGGGGUUCAAGGUCACAGCAUGAAUGGAGAACCCGGCACUCUGCCUCCAGCCCCCAGGCACGCACGCAGGCUGUCAGCAGCAGCUCUGGGAGCCUGACAUCUGAGCCUCACCCUGGCUCCUGAUAGAAUUAUCAGCGAACUGGGGAACACAUACUUCCCGUAAUCAGGGCAACUUUUCUUAGCCAGGGGUGGAGGAAGCAAGAUGUGAAGUGUGUCUGAUGAGCUGCUCUUCCAGUGCAGGGCCUAGAGUGAAUAAAACCCAGGGAAAUCAUGGCAGACAGCUGGAGAUUCAAGCAGGCGAGCUCCAGGGGCAGGGCCACUGGGACUUUAGCUCCUGCACAAAGCCAGUCUCAUGGCAUUUUGUGCACGUUUCAGUCUUCAGCAGCCAGGCAGGCAAACGCGGGCAGCUUGGCAUGAAAAUUAAUUUAGACCUUAAAAGAAGUGUUUCAUCUUCAGUGGCUUUUCAGGCUGCCCCAAUACAGGUGCAGCAAAGGGAGAUGUGAGGGAGCAGUGGUGACAGAGGACCUGAGGGCUUGGGUGAAACCACAGCCUUGUACCUAAUGGCCUCAGGUAGGGAGGGGCAGAGAGUCCUGAGGCCGAGGCAGACCCUCACAGCAGCUCGGACGGGGGAGAAAGGAGAGGGGUUUCUGGGAAUAGAAUCAGCUGAGGCCAGCCAGGUAAAAAUCCAGCUAUUCUGACCCUCACCCAGGCCUGAGCCUGCCAAUCGGGAAUGUGACAAGCGUGUUGGUGGGAGGCUGGGCCUUCAGGGAGGGACAUCGUGUGCUUUUCAGCUUGUGAAGAAAUGUGAGGAUUCACUCUCCAUUUCCCAAGAUGCUCAAACAAGAGGAAAUCGGCUUACAUCAAGUGGAGACAGUUCAAGAGGCCCAGGAGCAGACUGGCUGGCUGGUCAUAAUGUAUUCAAAUGCAAUUAAGUCCAGUGAAAAGAAGGAGGGAGGCUGAGGCCCGGGAAGGGCCACACUGUGGAGGACCAAGGACAAGGCCUUCAGGGCACGUCCCCUGCUAGUGAGGAGAGGAGAAAAAAAUCUACCUAAGAGAACAGUUUUGGAGGUUCAGUGGAAGGACGGGUUGGAAGGACCUUGGCUUUUAUUGUGGAAGGCCCAGAGACGGCACAUUUGUGUUUCUCAAUCAACAGAAAGUCAAAGGGACCCAUGUCUUACCUGAAGGAGCCGAGGUGAGAGCAGAUCCCUGAGACUCCUUCUAACCAGAGCUCCUGUUAAUUUUUUUUUUUAUCUCUAGUUUCUGUUUAUUGGCAGAACAGCCUUGGGCAAAUCUCUUCCCCUCUCAAGGACUCAGUUCCAGAUCUGUAAAGUCUGGGGCUGCCAUGUGUGAUGGUGGAGGGUGUUCACUGCACAAGGACACCCAGCCAAGGGAGCUCCAGCCACACCGCGGUCUCCCUCCGGCCCUUGAUCGCGCUGGUUCCCUGCCAGGAGUGCCCGCUUAGCCUUGUCCUGCAGGCAGAAGCUCGUCAUCUGUGGCAGCUGCUGUCCCGGCGAUGCCCUGACCUUUACCACUUCAGUAUGUUCCAGUCCCACAUCCGGAUGCCAGCACCUGCGUUUCUUUGCCUGGAGCUUUCUCUGGCCUCUGGAACCUGCAUGUGCCACUCUGUGCUGGGCAGAGGCCAGAAGUGCCAGGGAAUUCCCCCUCUCCCCCCAAACAGGAACCCCCAGCCACUGACAAAAGUUGGUGUAUACACACCCCUGCUCUCUCACCCCUGCGGCGGGCUAAUUCCAAGGCGUGUUCUGCCAGAGCUCCUCAGUGCGAAUGAGCCCUAGCUGCCCAGUGAUAACCGGCUUGAGAAACCACCCAGGAUUGCCCACUUACCUGUCUUACUUCCGCACUCCCCACAGCGUUUUCCUUCGUCUCCCAAAUAAACUACUCACAUUCAAA
Long non-coding RNA from Lynx canadensis (Canada lynx), 2083 nucleotides. RefSeq lists it as uncharacterized. The transcript is spliced from 3 exons. The record is from RefSeq and is a predicted model, not a curated record. NCBI's taxonomy places the organism in Eukaryota, Metazoa, Chordata, Mammalia, Carnivora, Felidae.